Long non-coding RNA from Alligator mississippiensis (American alligator), 133 nucleotides. RefSeq lists it as uncharacterized. The record is from RefSeq and is a predicted model, not a curated record. Lineage: Eukaryota; Metazoa; Chordata; Crocodylia; Alligatoridae. The transcript is spliced from 3 exons.
GGGAGCAGGGCUGCCAACAGGACGACAGCCCCAUGGAGACUCCCAUGGAUAUGGAGGGGAUGGCGGAGGAGUGCUGGCCACCCUGGAGGAGGAGCAUUAGCCCCCACCCGGAAAAGGAGGCAGGGUCCCACGA